CCACAGCGGCAGGCGCCCACCGAGCCCCGCCGGACCCCAGAGGUCGUUCUGAGCGAUGGGCCUGGAAGGAGACGACGGCUCCGUAGGUUUCCUCCGAGCUCUGAGAGGCGUCCUGGCCACGAGCCCAAGAAAACCGGCCGCGGGCAGGUGCUGAACGGAGGCCCAAGGGGGGCCCUCCCUGCACUCUAUACCCACGGCCCUGCCUGGCCAGCCGCCGAAGAGGAGGGGCUUCAGCGCGCCGCCCAACCCCCGUUUCGCUCCGCGAAAGUCUCCCUAUCCCUUCCCUGCUUUUCCUACCGGCUCCAAGCAGCACCAGGAAGUGUGGUGCAGAGAUGGUCAUGUGACCCCGCAUCAUCACGUGGCACUUGGAAAAAGCGAAGGGGGCCCGUCUUCGCAUUCCGUGCGUCAUCACGUCGCGCAACGACGACGGCGGCGGCAACGACGACAACGACGACGACGACAACAACCACGACAACCACGAUUCUGGCGGCUCCGGGACCGGGAGGCGGCGGCGGCGGCUGUUCGGCGCCCACUGAGCCGCCUGCGGGCCCCGCACCCCACCCCACGCCCUCGGGCGGGGGGCCAGCCCUGCCUGGCUGGGUAGGGCGGGGUGCUGAGGUGAGUUGGGUGGAAGGAGCCACAGUUGAGCCUCCCCCUGCCCCUCUCCACGCCCCGUCCGCGCGCUGCCGCCCCCGUGUGGCCGGGGAGGGACCCGGAGGCGCGGGUCCUGCGGGAGGACGAGGCGGGGCUGCCCGGCCGCUGCGCCCCAGAGCCGCCGCCCCCUCAUCCCGGGACCGGCUUCCGUCUGGGGCGGGGGAAGAGGGCCUUUUGUCAUCCUGCCGCAAGUUAAAAGUGGACCGACGUCGAUCCCCACAUUCCCAUUACCGUUGCAACUCUCAAUCUCUAGGGGAACCCGCAGACCCAGCUGGGGGAGGGUGUUGGGGUUCUGUUCGUGACAUGGGGGGUCGUGACGUGGGAGGGAUGGCUUCGGUGAGCACUGAUUUUUGGUGCAGCGCAACUAGACAUUUUUUAAAUUGGAGGACUUUAGCACUGGAAGGCACUUUGUUGCUAUUUUUUUUUUUGGAAGGCACUUUAGAGAUAUUUAGUCCAACACCCACAUUUUACAGAUGA
RNAcentral lists this long non-coding RNA (1131 nucleotides) under Phascolarctos cinereus (koala). RNAcentral describes it as "lncRNA (ENSPCIG00000036614.1)". Lineage: Eukaryota; Metazoa; Chordata; Mammalia; Diprotodontia; Phascolarctidae. The record is from RNAcentral.